CGGACUCCACAAGUGAUGCACGCCUCUUGGCAUCUCGGCUCACCAGUACUUGUGGAACCUAGUUUCGGAAGCUGAUUUGUAUUGCGAUACGUGCCUCUGGACAUGUGGACUCGUCGAUGUGUGCGGAGCGUAGUUUUGGAAGAUUUGUGACGCUACUCUGGACAUAUCGGCUCGAUGCACUGGUCAGUGCUUGUGGGGCGUAGUUUCGUAAAUUCACUGGUGACCAUAGGUUGGCGACCGCUGAAAUACCAGACGGCUCAUGCUUGCAGCACUCGUAAGUGAAAAUCGCCAAUGGUGAAAAACGCUCCUUCGAGGUUGCUUGGCAGUGCUGUGCAGCAUAGCACAGAAGUCACGCGCAGCCAAGGACUCCACAGGCAGGCAAAAUGCGUACAAUUGCCUUUUAGGAGCCGCUGCCGAGCAGUUCACAUGCGGACGGAAGGCCUACUUUUGUUGACGUUGUUGGGGAGUUGCUCUCGGCACUUUCUACGCAAGCGAAACAUCUUGUGCGAGCAGCAGUGGCACCGUGGAGCUUGUCGUGCUGCGUUACAUGUCGCCGAAUACAUCCAGCGAUCGCGUCUCGGAUGUGUUCGAUUCUCGUAUCGGCAUUUCGCACAGUGUUGAGACCCUGUCCAGAAGUUGAAACAGUAUUGGAACAAGGCCAGACGGAGAAAAAUAUUGUACCUAAAAAUGUUCUAAAGACACCUUUAUGAAAUUUCUACAGUGCUAUCGCAGAAACUUUUCUAACAAAUCUGCCAAUGCAUCAAAAUCCACAAAAAGUUAUUGAAUGCCAUGUCCCCCCUUAAGCUCGAAUGGUGCUUUUGCCUACACCUCCCCCUCCCCCGUUUUGUACUUUGAACUCUAGGCAAUACAACCAGUAUUUUUGCUGAUGCAUUUUUUUAAAAUGCCGUUGCCCUCCACCCCUUCUCCCAAAAAUGUUUGCCGACUUGUGCUUUGCUGACUUUAGUGCGAUGUGUAAGCUAUUCGCUGUUGCCAAAAUCUUAACAAACCAGGAGCCUCUGUCAGGCCUUGAUGCCUUUUGCUCUUGUCACCGUUUCUGUAAAGAUAAAGAAGAAAAAUAACUGGCUGCUAAGGACAGUAAAGGACA
This 1105-nucleotide long non-coding RNA is filed under the name Dermacentor andersoni. Its description in RNAcentral is "uncharacterized LOC126547358". The record is from RNAcentral. Lineage: Eukaryota; Metazoa; Arthropoda; Arachnida; Ixodida; Ixodidae.